This 2991-nucleotide ribosomal RNA is filed under the name Salmonella enterica subsp. enterica serovar Typhimurium. RNAcentral's name for it is "23S ribosomal RNA". It matches the Rfam family "Bacterial large subunit ribosomal RNA". Lineage: Bacteria; Pseudomonadati; Pseudomonadota; Gammaproteobacteria; Enterobacterales; Enterobacteriaceae. The record is from RNAcentral.
GGUUAAGCGACUAAGCGUACACGGUGGAUGCCCUGGCAGUCAGAGGCGAUGAAGGGCGUGCUAAUCUGCGAUAAGCGCCGGUAAGGUGAUAUGAACCGUUAUAACCGGCGAUACCCGAAUGGGGAAACCCAGUGUGAUUCGUCACACUAUCAUUAACUGAAUCCAUAGGUUAAUGAGGCGAACCGGGGGAACUGAAACAUCUAAGUACCCCGAGGAAAAGAAAUCAACCGAGAUUCCCCCAGUAGCGGCGAGCGAACGGGGAGGAGCCCAGAGCCUGAAUCAGCAUGUGUGUUAGUGGAAGCGUCUGGAAAGGUGCGCGAUACAGGGUGACAGCCCCGUACACAAAAGCGCAUGUGCUGUGAGCUCGAUGAGUAGGGCGGGACACGUGGUAUCCUGUCUGAAUAUGGGGGACCAUCCUCCAAGGCUAAAUACUCCUGACUGACCGAUAGUGAACCAGUACCGUGAGGGAAAGGCGAAAAGAACCCCGGCGAGGGGAGUGAAAAAGAACCUGAAACCGUGUACGUACAAGCAGUGGGAGCACAGGUUUACCUGUGUGACUGCGUACCUUUUGUAUAAUGGGUCAGCGACUUAUAUUCUGUAGCAAGGUUAACCGUAUAGGGGAGCCGUAGGGAAACCGAGUCUUAACCGGGCGUUAAGUUGCAGGGUAUAGACCCGAAACCCGGUGAUCUAGCCAUGGGCAGGUUGAAGGUUGGGUAACACUAACUGGAGGACCGAACCGACUAAUGUUGAAAAAUUAGCGGAUGACCUGUGGCUGGGGGUGAAAGGCCAAUCAAACCGGGAGAUAGCUGGUUCUCCCCGAAAGCUAUUUAGGUAGCGCCUCGUGAAUUCAUCUCCGGGGGUAGAGCACUGUUUCGGCUAGGGGGCCAUCCCGGCUUACCAACCCGAUGCAAACUGCGAAUACCGGAGAAUGUUAUCACGGGAGACACACGGCGGGUGCUAACGUCCGUCGUGAAGAGGGAAACAACCCAGACCGCCAGCUAAGGUCCCAAAGUCAUGGUUAAGUGGGAAACGAUGUGGGAAGGCCCAGACAGCCAGGAUGUUGGCUUAGAAGCAGCCAUCAUUUAAAGAAAGCGUAAUAGCUCACUGGUCGAGUCGGCCUGCGCGGAAGAUGUAACGGGGCUAAACCAUGCACCGAAGCUGCGGCAGCGAACGUAUCACCCAAGACAACUUUACGGAGUUGACGAUUGACGGAGCGAAGCGACGUCAAAGCGUUCAUUAAAGUCGAGUUGGCUUAGGGAUACGUUCGUUGGGUAGGGGAGCGUUCUGUAAGCCUGUGAAGGUGUGUCGUGAGGCAUGCUGGAGGUAUCAGAAGUGCGAAUGCUGACAUAAGUAACGAUAAAGCGGGUGAAAAGCCCGCUCGCCGGAAGACCAAGGGUUCCUGUCCAACGUUAAUCGGGGCAGGGUGAGUCGACCCCUAAGGCGAGGCCGAAAGGCGUAGUCGAUGGGAAACGGGUUAAUAUUCCCGUACUUGGUGUUACUGCGAAGGGGGGACGGAGAAGGCUAUGUUGGCCGGGCGACGGUUGUCCCGGUUUAAGCGUGUAGGUGUGUGUUCCAGGUAAAUCCGGUUCACUUUAACACUGAGGCGUGACGACGAGGCACUACGGUGCUGAAGCAACAAAUGCCCUGCUUCCAGGAAAAGCCUCUAAGCAUCAGGUAACACGAAAUCGUACCCCAAACCGACACAGGUGGUCAGGUAGAGAAUACCAAGGCGCUUGAGAGAACUCGGGUGAAGGAACUAGGCAAAAUGGUGCCGUAACUUCGGGAGAAGGCACGCUGACACGUAGGUGAAGUGAUUUACUCAUGGAGCUGAAGUCAGUCGAAGAUACCAGCUGGCUGCAACUGUUUAUUAAAAACACAGCACUGUGCAAACACGAAAGUGGACGUAUACGGUGUGACGCCUGCCCGGUGCCGGAAGGUUAAUUGAUGGGGUCAGCGCAAGCGAAGCUCCUGAUCGAAGCCCCGGUAAACGGCGGCCGUAACUAUAACGGUCCUAAGGUAGCGAAAUUCCUUGUCGGGUAAGUUCCGACCUGCACGAAUGGCGUAAUGAUGGCCAGGCUGUCUCCACCCGAGACUCAGUGAAAUUGAACUCGCUGUGAAGAUGCAGUGUACCCGCGGCAAGACGGAAAGACCCCGUGAACCUUUACUAUAGCUUGACACUGAACAUUGAGCCUUGAUGUGUAGGAUAGGUGGGAGGCUUUGAAGUGUGGACGCCAGUCUGCAUGGAGCCGACCUUGAAAUACCACCCUUUAAUGUUUGAUGUUCUAACGUGGACCCGUAAUCCGGGUUGCGGACAGUGUCUGGUGGGUAGUUUGACUGGGGCGGUCUCCUCCUAAAGAGUAACGGAGGAGCACGAAGGUUGGCUAAUCCUGGUCGGACAUCAGGAGGUUAGUGCAAUGGCAUAAGCCAGCUUGACUGCGAGCGUGACGGCGCGAGCAGGUGCGAAAGCAGGUCAUAGUGAUCCGGUGGUUCUGAAUGGAAGGGCCAUCGCUCAACGGAUAAAAGGUACUCCGGGGAUAACAGGCUGAUACCGCCCAAGAGUUCAUAUCGACGGCGGUGUUUGGCACCUCGAUGUCGGCUCAUCACAUCCUGGGGCUGAAGUAGGUCCCAAGGGUAUGGCUGUUCGCCAUUUAAAGUGGUACGCGAGCUGGGUUUAGAACGUCGUGAGACAGUUCGGUCCCUAUCUGCCGUGGGCGCUGGAGAACUGAGGGGGGCUGCUCCUAGUACGAGAGGACCGGAGUGGACGCAUCACUGGUGUUCGGGUUGUCAUGCCAAUGGCACUGCCCGGUAGCUAAAUGCGGAAGAGAUAAGUGCUGAAAGCAUCUAAGCACGAAACUUGCCCCGAGAUGAGUUCUCCCUGAGACUUAGAGUCUCCUGAAGGAACGUUGAAGACGACGACGUUGAUAGGCCGGGUGUGUAAGCGCAGCGAUGCGUUGAGCUAACCGGUACUAAUGAACCGUGAGGCUUAACCUU